UGGGUUGGAAUGUUUGUACUGGUCUGUGGCGGUGGUUGUCGGCUGUCCUGCCAGGAAAACUCGGCACUGACUAUCCCACUGCUGAUGCUGUAAAAGAGGUCCUUCUGCUAUGACGCAACUGUGGUUCCUCUGGUUCUGGGGACACUUAGGCCUCGCGUGCCGAUUUUCAUAGUUCCCUGUGGCCCCGAGCCGAGGGAGCCGCGGUGUGGAACGGAGGGAACCGGUGAUCUCAGUGCUGAAGAAAACAGGGAGUGAACCAAAGAGAAGUGAAGGAAUGUGUCCAAGGGCUCCCAAGUUGGCGGUGGAAUUAGAAUUGAAGCCUCAGCUCCAAAGCCUGUGUUCUGAACUACCCGGUUGCAGUUCACAAAAUACACUUUGGCAGUACUUUCAUAACGAAAACAAAUGAUUACAACCAGUUUACAAAUGCUUUGCUUUACUGGAGGAUCGACAUGUUUGACUAAUUUUCAAAAAUAAAUCUCAGAAGCAGCA
Molecule: long non-coding RNA, 489 nt
Filed under: Pan troglodytes (chimpanzee)
Lineage: Eukaryota; Metazoa; Chordata; Mammalia; Primates; Hominidae
Description: long non-coding RNA NONPTRT016279
Source: RNAcentral